Cordylochernes scorpioides is the source of this 71-nucleotide non-coding RNA. The record is from the annotation of a GenBank genome assembly. Lineage: Eukaryota; Metazoa; Arthropoda; Arachnida; Pseudoscorpiones; Chernetidae.
UCCAGGGUAGCCUAGUGGACAAGGCAAAAGCGGUAAGCGGAAAACUGUGGGUUUGAUUCCCAUCCCUGAAC